This is a long non-coding RNA of Homo sapiens (human), 591 nucleotides long. RefSeq lists it as uncharacterized. Lineage: Eukaryota; Metazoa; Chordata; Mammalia; Primates; Hominidae. The transcript is spliced from 2 exons. The record is from RefSeq and is a predicted model, not a curated record.
CCCUGAGCUGCCUCCCUGCAGACGCCAUACCUGCCGUGGCUGCUUGUUUGCUGAGUAGCCUCUCCCACUGAACCCUGGGCAACUUGAGAUAAAUGAAGAUUCUGAGGCCAAAGGAGAAUUGCAGGGAAGAUAAAUCCUGAAAACUUUUCAAACAUUUCAGAAUGCACACUCCCUUUGAAGAGUAAAAAAGGAUAUUUGUCGCCCUGGCUUGUCCCCAGACCUUCGGUGGAGGGGGUGGAAGCGGUUCCUGGAUGGCCUCUCCACCAGCCCGUGAUGGCGGGUUCCCCGAACAUUAUCAGCUUGGUGAAAUGACGGCUGCAGAGAGAAGGGAAGAAGAGUUGGCCUCCAACCAUGAAAUUGACACUCACCCUCAAGAACAACUGAUAACAACAGGAGAUGAAAGGACCGAUUUUACAGUUUUACUUAUUAUACAUUAGUGGGCCUUGGGUCAAGGUAAAUAAAGUAGUAUAUGGAACUAUUUCUUUAUAAUAACCAUAAAAUAAUGACAAAUAAUCUGUAGUGUGUUAAGAGGAAAGCUGAAAGAAUAAUAAAAGUUGUCAUGCAAUUGGGGGAGGAGAAUCAGAAGACGGU